GGGGGUUCAAAUUGAUUGACGGACAGGUCCAGCAUACUCCUGAAUACUCUUGGACAGACCAGUGUUCUGUGGCUGCAGUGCAGAGUCUGUUGACGGUGUCCCGCUUAUCGGCGGCGUCAUGCGCGUGUAGGGUCGGACAGCCGAGGUUGUCGUGGCUGGUUCUCUGGCUCAGUAGUCAGGUUUCUUCCCUCCAUGGCUGCAUAGGGCCUGUGUGACUUCCAGUUUUAGUAACUGCAUUUAUAUUACCAUUAGUGUGUGUUGUGUGCUGAACAUAUUUUUGUACCAGAAUAAAAAAUUGUAUUUGUUUCUCUGUACGC
Molecule: long non-coding RNA, 317 nt
Organism: Amphiprion ocellaris (clown anemonefish)
Lineage: Eukaryota; Metazoa; Chordata; Actinopteri; Pomacentridae
Source: Ensembl